CCUACGGGUGGCAGCAGUGAGGAAUAUUGGUCAAUGGACGCAAGUCUGAACCAGCCAUGCCGCGUGCAGGAUGACGGCUCUACGAGUUGUAAACUGCUUUUGCACGAGGGUAAACGCAGAUACGCGUAUCUGUCUGAAAGUAUCGUACGAAUAAGGAUCGGCUAACUCCGUGCCAGCAGCCGCGGUAAUACGGAGGAUUCAAGCGUUAUCCGGAUUUAUUGGGUUUAAAGGGGGCGUAGGCGGUCGGUUAAGUUAGAGGGUAAAUCCCGGGGCUCAACUUCGGAAUUGCCUUUGAUACUGGUCGGCUAGAGAGCAGUAGAGGUAGGCGGAAUGUGUGGUGUAGCGGUGAAAUGCUUAGAGAUCA
This 364-nucleotide ribosomal RNA is filed under the name uncultured bacterium. Its description in RNAcentral is "partial 16S ribosomal RNA". It matches the Rfam family "Bacterial small subunit ribosomal RNA", at positions 338 to 699 of the family's 1533-position model. The record is from RNAcentral.